This 902-nucleotide ribosomal RNA is filed under the name uncultured bacterium. Its description in RNAcentral is "bacterial SSU rRNA". It matches the Rfam family "Bacterial small subunit ribosomal RNA", at positions 9 to 873 of the family's 1533-position model. The record is from RNAcentral.
AGAGUUUGAUCAUGGCUCCGGACGAACGCUGGCGGCGUGCCUAAUACAUGCAAGUCGAACGGUCUUUUCUAUGGAAGCUUGCUUCCACUGAGAAGAUAGUGGCGAACGGGUGAGUAACACGUGGGUAACCUGCCCAUAAGAGGGGGAUAACAUCCGGAAACGGGUGCUAAUACCGCAUAGUUUUCUUGAUCGCAUGAUCGGGAAAGGAAAGACGGCCUUCGUGCUGUCGCUUAUGGAUGGACCCGCGGCGUAUUAGUUAGUUGGUGAGGUAACGGCUCACCAAGACGAUGAUACGUAGCCGACCUGAGAGGGUGAUCGGCCACAUUGGGACUGAGACACGGCCCAAACUCCUACGGGAGGCAGCAGUAGGGAAUCUUCCGCAAUGGACGAAAGUCUGACGGAGCAACGCCGCGUGAGUGAAGAAGGUUUUCGGAUCGUAAAACUCUGUUGUCAGAGAAGAACAAGUUGGAGAGUAACUGCUCCAGCCUUGACGGUAUCUGACCAGAAAGCCCCGGCUAACUACGUGCCAGCAGCCGCGGUAAGACGUAGGGGGCGAGCGUUGUCCGGAAUUGCUGGGCGUAAAGAGCACGUAGGCGGGAACCUAAGUCAGGUGUGAAAGACCGUGGCUCAACCACGGGGUGGCAUUUGAAACUGGGUUUCUUGAGGGCAGGAGAGGAAAGCAGAAUUCCUGGUGUAGCGGUGAAAUGCGUAGAAAUCAGGAGGAAUACCAGUGGCGAAGGCGGCUUUCUGGACUGACCCUGACGCUGAGGUGCGAAAGCGUGGGUAGCAACAGGAUUAGAUACCCUGGUAGUCCACGCCGUAACGAUGGAUACUAGGUGUGGGAGGUAUCGACCCCUUCCGUGCCGCAGCUAACGCAAUAAGUAUCCCGCCUGGGGGAGUCC